GAAAGUGUUAUCAAUUUUGAUAAAUGCAUUUCAUUUCAUAAAAUAAAAGAAUAUUUCAAUUAUUUUUCAGGGAUAAUGCAUUUGUUAGGGUCGGCGGGAAUAAAAAAGCAUGAAAAAGUGAAUUUUAUUUUUAUUCUGGAAAUCGGCAAAAUCGGGUCCGCGGAUCCGUAAACCAACAAAUUAAAAAAUUCUGGCCCUAAAACCAAUGUUUUAUGAAAUAUUCUUUAAAAAUUAGAGUUAUAUUUCUUUGUCCAUAAUAGUAGUUGAAUCAACAUAAAUCAAUGCUAUAUAUAAUAUAUAAUACAAUAUUCACUUUUACUACCAACUAAUAAAUUAAAACAAUCUUUUCCAUUCAGUGAUUACAAGCACUUUGAUUACCAUUCUAGGGUUAUGCCCCUUUCAUACAUGUGACAGAGUUGUCAAGCCACAACUGGAGAUUUGGAAAUUUUCAGCUGGAGUUUGGGCCUCAUAACUGGAGAUUUUUUAUCGACGUACGCAAUGGUUUUUUCGUGUGUGUUUAAACUGCAUAUCUUCCUUUUUUGUUAAAAAAAAACCCAAUGAUUUCAUACCUUCAAGCACCUGCAUAGCCAUUUUUACUUAGUAAAAUAGAAGAUAAAGGGGGGGGGGUCAAAUAUUUAUUCAUCAUAUAUAGUUCAAAGUUAAAGUGAUCAGCCAUCAUAUUUAGUUCAAAGAUAAAGUGAUCAGCCAUCAUACAUAGUUGGCAAAAAGUACCUCUGCUUUAGCCACAUUGUCAACUUUAGUACCACUACUGAACAUGUUUGUAAAAGAAGGUGUUGAAUUGAUAGAGUUGUGGGCUUUCUGGUGGGUAGCUGUCUCCAUAUUUUUGGUCAAGUAAUUAGGGCCCCAUAGUCAGCUUUGCAUGAAGUGUAGUAAGCAUUGUCUUGACCCUUGGCACUGGACUUGCACCAUUUUUAAAUUUGGCUAGAUACUCAUUACUGUGUCUUCUUUAAUAUUAUGCUGGGGUACAUGUAUUUGGUGAUAACAUGAUACAGUUUGUAUUUUGUCAAAUUAUAAGACAAACACACUUAUAUAGGUAUUCCAUUGGCCUAGAUAGAAGACAAGACAUAAAUAUCAUAUUUGAGUUGAUUUUAUUGUCUUUGAGGUUCAGUAUAAACUAAGUCUGUUCCAUGUUUUCAACAGCAUCACAAUUUAUAAAGUCGAUGUUUAUACAACUGUUCCAUUGUCAGUAUCACUUUUAAUCAUCCAGACAUGUAUAUUUAACUAGCUAGUUGAUUACUAGGUAAAUGCCAAUCAUCUUUUAUUGUUGUAUAUACAGUCUAUAAUCCUUAACCCCUUCAUUGAUUACUUAAGGCUAUUUUCCUAUUUACCUUUUUGACACAAAUUCCAUUACAGGAAACUUCCGUUUUUCUCGGACUUUUCCUAUAUCAAUUUAGAGUUUCUCGGACUUUUACCCUGUCCGUAUCUAAUUUGUAAACAGAAAUGUCUACUGAAAUUUUUUCGAGAUUGACAUUUUCAAAAAGCGGAAGAUUUCAAAUUUUAACGGGAGGGACGGAAGAGGGUCUGAAAAGCGGGAGAUUUUAACUCCCGCCGGAAGAAUCACAUGUAUGCCUUUACAAGUGGAAAAAUUGAAGAAUUUUUAUGGCCCCGCAACAAAGUUGUCGGUGCCAUAUAGUUUUACCCUUGUCCGUAAUUCCGUAUUUCCGAAAUUCUGAAAUUCCAUAAUUCCGUCAUUCCGCAACAAACCACUAUACAGAGUUUUUUUCUAAACUCCUUCAGAUAUUGGACUGAUUUUUGGUAUGUGAGUUAACCAUGAUGAGUUACAGAUCAAGUUUAAGUUUCGUUCCGCUCCGCUAAUUUUUGCCAAAAUUACGGGCAUUGGACUUUGAUAAAUUUUUGAAAUCACAGUUAUAUGGAUUUUUUUUCUAAACGCUUUCAAAUAUUGGGAUGAUUUUUGGCAUGUGAGUUCACCAAGAUGAGUUACAGAUAAAGUAUAAGUUUUGUUCUGCUUGGCUAAUUUUUGCCGAAAUUAUGGGCUAUGGACUUGAGGGCCAUACCGUACCUAUAGUUGUUAAUGUCUGUGUCAUUUUGUGGACAGUUGUCUCAUUGGCAAUCAUACCACAUCUUCUUUUUAGCUCACCUGGUCCGAAGGGCCAAGUGAUCUUUUCCCAUCACUUUGCGUCCGUCGUCGUUAACUUUUACAAAAAUCUUCUCCUCUGAAACUACUGGGCCAAAUUAAACCAAACUUGGCCACAAUCAUCAUUGGGGUAUCUAGUUUAAAAAAUGUGUGGCGUGACCCGGCCAACCAACCAAGAUGGCCGCCAUGGCUAAAAAUAGAACAUAGGGGUAAAAUGGGGUUUUUGGCUUAUAACUCAAAAACCAAAGCAUUUAGAGCAAAUCUGACAGAGUAAAAUUGUUUAUCAGGUCAAGAUCUAUCUGCCCUGAAAUUUUCAGAUGAAUCGAACAACCCGUUGUUGGGUUGCUGCCCCUGAAUUGAUAAUUUUAAGGAAAUUUUACUGUUUUUGGUUAUUAUCUUGAAUAUUAUUAUAGAUAGAGAUAAACUGUAAACAGCAAUAAUGUUCAGCAAAGUAAGAUUUACAAAUAAGUCAACGUGACCGAAAUGGUCAGUUGACCCC
This 2615-nucleotide long non-coding RNA is filed under the name Mytilus galloprovincialis (Mediterranean mussel). The record is from RNAcentral. Lineage: Eukaryota; Metazoa; Mollusca; Bivalvia; Mytilida; Mytilidae.